GGGACACGUGGUAUCCUGUCUGAAUAUGGGGGGACCAUCCUCCAAGGCUAAAUACUCCUGACUGACCGAUAGUGAACCAGUACCGUGAGGGAAAGGCGAAAAGAACCCCGGCGAGGGGAGUGAAAAAGAACCUGAAACCGUGUACGUACAAGCAGUGGGAGCACCUUCGGGUGUGACUGCGUACCUUUUGUAUAAUGGGUCAGCGACUUAUAUUCUGUAGCAAGGUUAACCGUAUAGGGGAGCCGCAGGGAAACCGAGUCUUAACUGGGCGUUAAGUUGCAGGGUAUAGACCCGAAACCCGGUGAUCUAGCCAUGGGCAGGUUGAAGGUUGGGUAACACUAACUGGAGGACCGAACCGACUAAUGUUGAAAAAUUAGCGGAUGACUUGUGGCUGGGGGUGAAAGGCCAAUCAAACCGGGAGAUAGCUGGUUCUCCCCGAAAGCUAUUUAGGUAGCGCCUCGUGAAC
RNAcentral lists this ribosomal RNA (466 nucleotides) under Klebsiella pneumoniae. RNAcentral describes it as "partial 23S ribosomal RNA". It matches the Rfam family "Bacterial large subunit ribosomal RNA", at positions 419 to 889 of the family's 2925-position model. Lineage: Bacteria; Pseudomonadati; Pseudomonadota; Gammaproteobacteria; Enterobacterales; Enterobacteriaceae. The record is from RNAcentral.